Molecule: long non-coding RNA, 601 nt
Filed under: Gopherus agassizii (Agassiz's desert tortoise)
Lineage: Eukaryota; Metazoa; Chordata; Testudines; Testudinidae
Description: lncRNA (ENSGAGG00000011494.1)
Source: RNAcentral
GAAAAUUUAACCAAUGUGGCAAUUUUAAGAGGCGAGCAUAACUUCUCAAGGACCUUCUGCAAAGGCGUCCAGUCGGUGAGGUAAUUUCCUGCUGCUUAAUUAGCAUUGGUUUACAGAGCGCAUUGGAAUUUAAGGAUGUGGUUUUUCUAAUUUCUUUAAGCUUGAAAAGGAAAAAAAACCAACCCCAAAACAACAACGUAUGCCGGCAGUCCAUUCCUUGGGAGCAUUCAAAUGAGGUGGGGGCAGAGGCUUGGGCAUCACUGAACUUCAGGGGCCCGCAGAGAGGAUGAAUCUGAAUGGUGCUGUGUGGAAAGAUCAGCACCGAAGAGUCUGUAGUCCUUUCCAGUCAGGACAUGGAUGCUGCUUGUGAAUUUAAAACCAAAGACAAUCAAGAUCUUGGAGAGAAAGAGAAGCUGUUUUUGCAGCACGGGAGUUUAGUUCUCUCCAGCAGUUACACAUUCUCUGGAUAAAUAAAUAAUCACACUAUUUCUGCUGUCAAAGCUGAAAGCAUGCACAGCUGUUUGCCACACGAUACGCCGGGACUACAAGGUAUAACGUUUCUUAAUUAGACUGACCUGGGUUUGCGAAGCAGCAUCAUUAG